UACAGAGGCCUCGAGCGUUAUCCGGAAUUAUUGGGCGUAAAGAGCUAAACGGUGGCUCUAUUUGUCGGAGAUAAAAUACCAUAGCUCAACUAUGGACCUAUUUCCGAAACGGUAGAACUAGAGAAUGGAAGAGGUCAGCGGAAUUGCUGGUGUAGCAGUAAAAUGCGUUAAUAUCAGCAAGAACACCAAUUGCGAAGGCAGCUGACUAGGACAUUUCUGACACUACAAUAGCGAAAGCGUGGGUAGCGAAUGGG
This 254-nucleotide ribosomal RNA is filed under the name uncultured bacterium. RNAcentral's name for it is "partial 16S ribosomal RNA". It matches the Rfam family "Bacterial small subunit ribosomal RNA", at positions 524 to 776 of the family's 1533-position model. The record is from RNAcentral.